This 1122-nucleotide long non-coding RNA is filed under the name Manihot esculenta (cassava). RNAcentral's name for it is "long non-coding RNA (MESC_LNC007789)". The record is from RNAcentral. Lineage: Eukaryota; Viridiplantae; Streptophyta; Magnoliopsida; Malpighiales; Euphorbiaceae.
GCAUCAAAAGACCUUCUAGGGUCCCUUGACACUCUUUCUCUGUUUGCUCUACAAGACAUUGCCCUAGGCAAUGUAGGAGGACGGGCGCUCGUGCCCUCAUCCUCAGGUGGUACUCCAGUCAAUCUUGCCCAUCGACGGGUUCCUCUCAUCCUGUUUUCUGAAAAACAGUACACAUCAUACAAACGUUAGCAUCAUAUGAUUCAUGUGGGCACACAUGAACCCUCAUCACAUAUACAUCAUUCAUAUCAUAGCAUCAAUGCACAUGUAUAAAGUCAUGGCAUUACACAUCAUCAUACAAGACAGGACUCCACAUCCUAUCCUAGUGGACAUGAUCUUUUCUAUUGUGCUUGACCUUCUAGAACAUCUAUGAGCCCGACACUCUAGGUUCGAUCCUAUGAACCUAGGGCUCUGAUACCAUUCUGUAAUGACCCGAAAAUCGAACCGCUACCGGCGCUAGGAUCCGGGUCGGCUUAAGGCCGCCAAGACCCGUAGCAAGCCUGACUUGCAACCUGAAAACCUGUUUAAUCCCAUACAUGAUCACAACAUACAUAAAAAAUUUAAAACUUUUCUUUCAUACAUCCAACUCAACCUGAACAUGCACUGCACAUAGCCAUAAUCAUAAUUAUGAUCCCUCUGUGGGGUCUCAUCAAUGCCCCAAUGGGCGGUACAUCACAAGAUGAGUUGGCUUUCAUGACAUAAUAAAACAUUUUUGAUCAUGUAAUAAAAAGGGAUACCUCAUACACAAUGUCAAGCACAAUAUCAAAUCCUCAAAAUCAUUACAUGACUGAAACUGUACUUUUACAUAACAUUAAUACAUCUAUCAUGUCCACACUAACUAUUACAUACAUGUGACUUCAUUACUCUUGUAAACCUCCUGGUCUACCCUGUACCUGCAAUCCUGGGGAAAAAUGGGAGAAGGGUGAGCUACUAGAGCCCAGUGAGUAGAAUAAUAAAACACUUAAAACAUAUGAUAACAUGAAAUGCAUCACAUCACAGCUAAUCACAUCAAGGAUGAACUUGUCACCAAUAGCCCUCUACAUGGUCCAACUGUGCCAGAACGUAGAAUGGGUCCUGGUCUUUCCCUUACAUAUCAUAACAUAACAGUGUCCAAUUGUGCCAGAA